GAUGAACGCUGGCGGCGUGCCUAAUACAUGCAAGUCGAGCGAACAGACGAGGAGCUUGCUCCUCUGACGUUAGCGGCGGACGGGUGAGUAACACGUGGAUAACCUACCUAUAAGACUGGGAUAACUUCGGGAAACCGGAGCUAAUACCGGAUAAUAUAUUGAACCGCAUGGUUCAAUAGUGAAAGACGGUUUUGCUGUCACUUAUAGAUGGAUCCGCGCCGCAUUAGCUAGUUGGUAAGGUAACGGCUUACCAAGGCAACGAUGCGUAGCCGACCUGAGAGGGUGAUAGGCCACCUUGGAACUGGAACAGGGUCCAGACUCCCACGGGAGGCACAAGUAGGGAAUCUUCCGCAAGGGGCGAAACCCUGAGGGAGCACCGCCGCGUGAGUAACAAAGGUCUUGGGAUCGUAAAACUUUUUUAUUGGGAAAAAAAAAAUGUGUAAGUAACUAUGCCCGUCUGGACGGUACCUAAUAAAAAACCCACGGCUAACUACGUG
Molecule: ribosomal RNA, 497 nt
Filed under: uncultured bacterium
Lineage: Bacteria
Description: partial 16S ribosomal RNA
Rfam family: Bacterial small subunit ribosomal RNA
Source: RNAcentral